GACGAACCGUGCGAACGUUGUUCGGAAUCACUGGGCUUAAAGGGCGCGUAGGCGGGUGUGCAAGUCUGUGGUGAAAGCCCCCGGCUCAACCGGGGAAGUGCCGUGGAUACUGUGCAUCUUGAGGAGGGUAGGGGCAUCUGGAACGGUCGGUGGAGCGGUGAAAUGCGUUGAUAUCGACCGGAACUCCGGUGGCGAAGGCGAGGUGCUGGACCCUUUCUGACGCUGAGGCGCGAAAGCCAGGGGAGCGAACGGG
This 253-nucleotide ribosomal RNA is filed under the name uncultured bacterium. RNAcentral describes it as "partial 16S ribosomal RNA". It matches the Rfam family "Bacterial small subunit ribosomal RNA", at positions 524 to 776 of the family's 1533-position model. The record is from RNAcentral.